This 392-nucleotide ribosomal RNA is filed under the name uncultured bacterium. RNAcentral describes it as "partial 16S ribosomal RNA". It matches the Rfam family "Bacterial small subunit ribosomal RNA", at positions 523 to 918 of the family's 1533-position model. The record is from RNAcentral.
AUACGGAGGAUCCGAGCGUUAUCCGGAUUUAUUGGGUUUAAAGGGUGCGCAGGCGGCCAUUUAAGUCAGCGGUUAAAUCGUGGGGCUCAACCCCAUUCUGCCGUUGAUACUGGGUGGCUUGAUUGCGGUCGAGGUUGGCGGAAUUCGUUGUGUAGCGGUGAAAUGCAUAGAUAUGACGAAGAACGCCGAUUGCGUAGGCAGCUGACCAGACCGCAAAUGACGCUCAUGCACGAAAGUGCGGGGAUCGAACAGGAUUAGAUGCCCUGGUAGUCCGCACAGUAAACGAUGAAUACUUGUUUUCGGCGAUAUAAUGUCGGAGGCAAAGCGAAAGCGAUAAGUAUUCCACCUGGGGAGUACGCCGGCAACGGUGAAACUCAAAUGAAUUGACGGGG